Molecule: long non-coding RNA, 1273 nt
Filed under: Ananas comosus (pineapple)
Lineage: Eukaryota; Viridiplantae; Streptophyta; Magnoliopsida; Poales; Bromeliaceae
Description: long non-coding RNA (ACOM_LNC031058)
Source: RNAcentral
UUUAGUUCAAGGGUGGAAUUGGAAUGAAUAAUGAAAUAGGAAUGAAUUAGAAUGGUAAUUGGAAUGACCCACUCCCCCAAAACGUUUGGUUUAUUUGUGGAUUGGAAAUUGGAAUGAGUUAUUCACAUUUCAUUGUUUGGUUCGUAUAAACUAAAAAAAUUAUAGGAUACUAUAAUACUAAUUUUACUCUCAAAUAUAAAUUUUAAAAUUUAUGAAAAAUAUAAUACUAUUCUCUAAUAAGUUUUUCAAAAAAAUUAUCGAAUUUAUUUUUAAAAACUUUUAUUGAUGUGGAUUAGGGAUAGGGUUUUGAGAGAGGAUAGGUUUUUUUUUAUUUAUUUUGAUGAGAAAGGGGUGAAGAGAAGGAAUGUGAGAUGGUCACAUGGGUUUCGAAAACUUAGUGGCCUUCUGGAAUGAAAUCUCAAUCCGGACUAGAAGACCGGAAUCAAUUUAAAGGCUAAUGGGCCAUUCCCAUUCCAGUCCGAUUCCUAUUUCAUACCCAAAAUGGAUAAACCAAAUAAGCACUAAGCUACUGUUUGGUUCAGGGUUAAGGAAAAACUAGUUAUUCCAGGUAUAGGGUUAAGUUCAGAGUUAAUGUGGGGUUAGAGUAUUUUUUUGUUUAGUUGGGAUAGUGGGAUAAGAAGGAUAGUGGGUUAUUAUGAAUAGAAAAUAGUGUUUGGUUGGGGUUUGGUAGGAUUAGGUGGGGUUAGCUAAUCCGGAAUAGCCCAUUUGAGAUGAGGUUAGGUAACUUUGAAAGUGUUUGAGGAUAAUAUGGGGGUUAAGAAGUUAUUCCACCUCUUAACCCCCAACCAAACAAAGGCUAAAAGUAAUCUUGGGAUUAACCUGAAUAUAUUCAAAAUUACCAUUUUGAUAAUUUUUUAAAAAGACAUAGAACUUUUCACAAUUAUAAACUAAAAGUGUAUUACACGUGAAAGUUUAGACGUUAAAAAUUAAGUUUAGAAAUCAAGUGGGAAUAUUUGGAAAGACUAGAUGCGCUAUUCGUGCAUUUUAGUCAAAAUAAUAUUAAAUAUUGCCGUACAUCCAUCUAUCAUCAAUGCAAGUGUAAUAAUUGAGAGUUGUAUCGACCGUUGCUAGAACAAGUGGCAAAUGGCUUCGUGGUUGGUACCCGAGACCAAAAUUCGAAUCCUAGCUGAUUCAUAUUUCUAGCUAAGUUUAUUUCUAAAUGAAAUAAACGAAGCGAAUAGCGUGCUACUUAUCUCUCAAAAAAAUAAUAAUAAUAAUAAUAAUUGAGAGUUGUAUGUGAUAGACUGCAAAU